This is a long non-coding RNA of Leptinotarsa decemlineata (Colorado potato beetle), 211 nucleotides long. Lineage: Eukaryota; Metazoa; Arthropoda; Insecta; Coleoptera; Chrysomelidae. The record is from RefSeq and is a predicted model, not a curated record.
UAUAGUCACAGAACACCCUAUCUAUAGAUAGGGUGUUCUGUGAUAUAGUACUAAUAAUACAAAAAUAAAACUCAAGGUUGAAUAUGAAUAUCGCUUCCAGUGAAAUCGGGUCAUCGACGUUCUCUUGUGGUAAAAUUAAAGCACAGCAGUCAGCUAGAGUCGAAUAUAACCGCUUAAGAUUUAUUGGCUGUUGCGACCAAUGAACCAACAA